UUAAUAACACCUGGAUUAUUUUGCUGCAUCUGUGAUUUCUGACAAUUCAUCACUUCUUCAGCUGUGACGAGGUCAACUGAAAAGAAGCUCAUCAGUACUACGUGCUCAAGUUCAUAUACUCUACCUGACACAUAUGAGAUCAGACCAGAUGAUGACUCUUUCCACUUAAAAUUCCUCUGUGGGAGGAAUUUCAUCCAGUGAACUGUUAAGAGCGCUGGAAGGAACAUAUGGAAGGCUUACUUAUCUCCUAGACCAUCUGCACGCUACAAAUAAUGUUAGCCCUUUCACUGGUUAAUGCCAUAAACUACAAUACCAAAGGAUGACUCCAAAGGGAAACAAAGAACUCUUCCCAAAGAAGAUGAAUGCAGUACCACUUCUGCUAAUCCUAAUUUACUUAGAAUUUACUGACGAUACUUCUGUCACCUCAUCCAUCACGGGCAGACACUGGAGCGGGAGAGGAGUAAGCA
Molecule: long non-coding RNA, 467 nt
Organism: Nothoprocta perdicaria
Lineage: Eukaryota; Metazoa; Chordata; Aves; Tinamiformes; Tinamidae
Exons: 3
Source: RefSeq, a predicted model, not a curated record